UGAGGAAGUAAAAGUCGUAACAAGGUCUCCGUUGGUGAACCAGCGGAGGGAUCAUUACUGAGUUACCGCUCUAUAACCCUUUGUGAACAUACCUACAACUGUUGCUUCGGCGGGUAGGCCGUCCCCUGAAAAGGACGCCUCCCGGCCCGGACCGGACCCCCCGCGGGACCGGACCCGGCGCCCGCCGGAGGAUAACCAAACUCUAUUGUAACGACGUUUCUUCUGAGUGGCAUAAGCAAAAUAAUCAAAACUUUUAACAACGGAUCUCUUGGUUCUGGCAUCGAUGAAGAACGCAGCGAAAUGCGAUAAGUAAUGUGAAUUGCAGAAUUCAGUGAAUCAUCGAAUCUUUGAACGCACAUUGCGCCCGCCAGCAUUCUGGCGGGCAUGCCUGUUCGAGCGUCAUUUCAACCCUCAAGCUCUGCUUGGUGUUGGGGCUCUACGGUCGACGUAGGCCCUCAAAGGUAGUGGCGGACCCUCCCGGAGCCUCCUUUGCGUAGUAACAUUUCGUCUCGCACUGGGAUCCGGAGGGACUCUUGCCGUAAAACCCCCCAAUUUUCCAAAGGUUGACCUCGGAUCAGGUAGGGAAUACCCGCUGAACUUAAGCAUAUCAAUAAGCGGAGGAA
RNAcentral lists this ribosomal RNA (623 nucleotides) under Colletotrichum boninense. Its description in RNAcentral is "eukaryotic LSU rRNA". The stretch from base 249 to 402 matches the Rfam family "5.8S ribosomal RNA". Lineage: Eukaryota; Fungi; Ascomycota; Sordariomycetes; Glomerellales; Glomerellaceae. The record is from RNAcentral.